RNAcentral lists this ribosomal RNA (492 nucleotides) under uncultured bacterium. RNAcentral describes it as "partial 16S ribosomal RNA". It matches the Rfam family "Bacterial small subunit ribosomal RNA", at positions 29 to 507 of the family's 1533-position model. The record is from RNAcentral.
AGUGAACGCUGGCGGUAGGCCUAACACAUGCAAGUCGAACGGCAGCACAGCAAGAGCUUGCUCUUACGGGUGGCGAGUGGCGGACGGGUGAGGAAUACAUCGGAAUCUACUUUUUCGUGGGGGAUAACGUAGGGAAACUUACGCUAAUACCGCAUACGACCUACGGGUGAAAGCAGGGGAUCUUCGGAGCUUUCGCGAUUGAAUGAGCCGAUGUCGGAUUAGCUAGUUGGCGGGGUAAAGGCCCACCAAGGCGACGAUCCGUAGCUGGUCUGAGAGGAUGAUCAGCCACACUGGAACUGAGACACGGUCCAGACUCCUACGGGAGGCAGCAGUGGGGAAUAUUGGACAAUGGGCGCAAGCCUGACCCAGCCAUACCGCGUGAGUGAAGAAGGCCUUCGGGUUGUAAAGCCCUUUUGUUGGGAAAGAAAAGCAGCAGGUUAAUACCCCGCUGUUCUGACGGUACCCAAAGAAUAAGCACCGGCUAACUUCGUG